RNAcentral lists this long non-coding RNA (601 nucleotides) under Homo sapiens (human). Lineage: Eukaryota; Metazoa; Chordata; Mammalia; Primates; Hominidae. The record is from RNAcentral.
AUCUAUGUUGACUUUCCUUACUUAAUAAUUGAUGAUCAAAUAAUCUCCUUUGGCUGCACAGCAGCCAGAAGAUUGAUUGUUCAUAAGUCUUCCCCUGCUGAGACUUUUAAGUGUUACUUGCUGGUUCAGUUGAUAAAAACAAAGUAGGCAUUUUGCUCACACACACAAACACACACACACACACACACAAAGUCAACAUAAUCUUUGCUGAGACAUUUGCAUUUGAUAAUUUAAAAAAUCAAACUAAUCUAAUCUCAGUUUUCCCAACUAAGAUUCUUCUUUUCAAUUCUGCAUUUAUGGGUUAUAAAACCAAUUUCUUGAUAGUUUAUUUUUCUGAAAAUAAUUGGAUUCCUAUACAUGGCCAUCUGACAUUAGAUAUUAUUAUUAUUGUUGUUGUUGACAUUUUGCCUCUUUGCCUUUGCAGUAGGUCACUAAAGAAGCAGUUCCUUGAAAAACUGAAUUUCUAUUGUCUCUGUCAGAAAAAAAUCAUUCAUUAGCAGGAGAAGAACAGCAAGAGAUCAAUCACAUAAUCUUGAGAAGGUCUAGCAUGGCGGAUGCUGCGGCUACUGGUCCAGGAAGCACAUUUUGAGAACCACUCAGC